Pygocentrus nattereri (red-bellied piranha) is the source of this 467-nucleotide long non-coding RNA. RefSeq lists it as uncharacterized. The transcript is spliced from 3 exons. NCBI's taxonomy places the organism in Eukaryota, Metazoa, Chordata, Actinopteri, Characiformes, Serrasalmidae. The record is from RefSeq and is a predicted model, not a curated record.
CUGGACUCUUAAGCUUAUGCUUAAAUAGAGCUAGAUGAUCUUUGGAAGGCCAUCAAUAUUCAGGAAUCUUUAAGGCAGUUCGACCAUGUGCCCCUUUGUGUCUACUUUGGACAGCUGUGUGGCCACUGCAGUCCCUGAUAUGAAACCAGUCCCCAGAUAUCCCUUCAUUCAUAACUAUGGGCCUACACAUGGAAGCCAUGUGAGAUGACCAAUGGAGAAACCAUUGGUCCAAUUAUGGUUAAGGAAGAUGCUUGAUGGCACAGUGCCUUAUUUUCUGAAAUGGAGUUAAUAGAACGCUUAUGUGCUGGAGUAACUAAUGGCUGAAGAUGGAACAACUCAAUGUCUUGUUUAUUAAACAACCUCGGUUGCAAGUGUGCCUGCUAAUUAGCUGAAUCUUAGUUUUGAAGUGCUCAUGUGCCACUUAUGGAUGGCUUCCUGGACAUGGAUUAAGCUUGGUCAAACUAAGU